CCUACGGGAGGCAGUAGUGGGGAAUAUUGGGCAAUGGGCGCAAGCCUGACCCAGCAACGCCGCGUGAAGGAAGAAGGCUUUCGGGUUGUAAACCUCUUUUCUUAGGGACGAAGAAAGUGACGGUACUUGAGGAAUAAGCCACGGCUAACUACGUGCCAGCAGCCGCGGUAAUACGUAGGUGGCAAGCGUUAUACGGAUUCAUUGGGUGUAAAGGGCGUGUAGGCGGGAGCGCAAGUCAGAUGUGAAAACUCAGGGCUCAACCCUGAGCGUGCAUUUGAAACUGUGUUUCUUGAGUGCUGGAGAGGCAGUCGGAAUUCGGGGUGUAGCGGUGAAAUGCGUAGAUAUACGGAAGAACACCGAUGGCGAAGGCGGAUUGCUGGACAGUAACUGACGCUGAGGCGCGAAAGCGUGGGGAGCAAACAGGAUUAGAUACCCUUGUAGUC
RNAcentral lists this ribosomal RNA (443 nucleotides) under uncultured bacterium. RNAcentral's name for it is "partial 16S ribosomal RNA". It matches the Rfam family "Bacterial small subunit ribosomal RNA", at positions 338 to 795 of the family's 1533-position model. The record is from RNAcentral.